GAGCUGACCAAAUAGUAUCAAAUUACUGGCGCAAACUCAAACAAAGAAAUAUAGUCCAGCUGUAGAGAGGGAGAGCGCAUUUUGUUUUGGAAUGUGUGAAGCACCACAUCGACCAUUGAGGCAAAAUGAUUUGGAUUUUAUCAUCGCAACAGUGAAAUGUUGUUCGACAUCGUGUACGUGUACCGAAGCAAAAUUGGGAGCCCCAUGAUUAUAUCUCAGGAAACUCGAUUGAAUAGACGGAAGGAAGAUCAAUGAAUUCUUGUUUAGAAGAAAUGACGACUCUGUGAUUUGAACAAACUUUUGAUAUGUGUAUCAUAUGUGUGUUAUGGCGAAUUUGUUGCUCCUUGUUGGCUAAUUUGGAACUAUUGUGAGGAAAUUAAAUCCCUAAAUAAAUAAA
Long non-coding RNA from Magallana angulata, 397 nucleotides. RefSeq lists it as uncharacterized. NCBI's taxonomy places the organism in Eukaryota, Metazoa, Mollusca, Bivalvia, Ostreida, Ostreidae. The record is from RefSeq and is a predicted model, not a curated record. The transcript has 2 exons.